GCAAACUUGGUCAUUUAGAGGAAGUAAAAGUCGUAACAAGGUUUCCGUAGGUGAACCUGCGGAAGGAUCAUUAAAAUAUUGAAUUCGGCCUUUCAUAAGUCGAACAAUACUUUGUGAAACAAUGAUGCGAAAUACUUUGAUUUGGGGUUUAAAGAUGUUUUGCUUUUGGCUUUAUUGCUUUAGUAAAACGACCCCGAACUUCAUUAAACAACUCUAUUAAUUUUAUUUGACUGAAAUUUUGGAAAAUUAUAACCCAAAAUAUAACUUUCAACAACGGAUCUCUUGGUUCUCGCAUCGAUGAAGAACGCAGC
Molecule: unclassified non-coding RNA, 311 nt
Filed under: uncultured fungus
Lineage: Eukaryota; Fungi
Description: partial contains small subunit ribosomal RNA, internal transcribed spacer 1, and 5.8S ribosomal RNA
Rfam family: Eukaryotic small subunit ribosomal RNA (bases 1-73)
Source: RNAcentral